RNAcentral lists this ribosomal RNA (440 nucleotides) under uncultured bacterium. Its description in RNAcentral is "bacterial SSU rRNA". It matches the Rfam family "Bacterial small subunit ribosomal RNA", at positions 338 to 771 of the family's 1533-position model. The record is from RNAcentral.
CCUACGGGAGGCAGCAGUGGGGAAUUUUGGACAAUGGGGGAAACCCUGAUCCAGCGAUGCCGCGUGUGUGAAGAAGGCCUUCGGGUUGUAAAGCACUUUAAGCAGGGAAGAACCAGCCUGACCUAACACGUCCGGCCCUGACGGUACCUGCAGAAUAAGCACCGGCUAACUCUGUGCCAGCAGCCGCGGUAAUACAGAGGGUGCAAGCGUUAAUCGGAUUUACUGGGCGUAAAGCGUGCGUAGGUGGUUCAGUAUGUCGGUCGUGAAAUCCCCGGGCUUAACCUGGGAACUGCGGCCGAAACUGCUGGGCUAGAGUGUGGUAGAGGGAGGUGGAAUUCCGGGUGUAGCGGUGAAAUGCGUAGAUAUCCGGAGGAACACCGAUGGCGAAGGCAGCCUCCUGGGCCACAACUGACACUGAGGUACGAAAGCGUGGGGAGCAA